GGCUGGAGAAAGACUUUAAAUCAAUGAAUUAUUAUGAAUAUAUUGAAAUAAUCUAAUGCUAAUCUACAUUAAAUAAAAAAAAAAAUCAAGAUGUGUCAUAUUUCUUUGUAUUUUCCCUCAAUACAUUGUUUUUAUUUUCGAGAACAUACAGUUUUGGAAUACAGAACUUCUUCUGGAAUCCCAAAAUGAAUUAAGGUUUAUUAAUUUUGUGUCAGUUUCAUUCAAAAAUCUUGUUGGACAAGGGGUAUUUGAGUCAGAAGACACUAGCAACAUCCUGGGAACCAUUCACAACCCCUUAGUAUUGUAAUGGCAAGUUUUGCACUGGCAAGGACUGUUGCUGAGAAAAUGUACAAGUUACAGUUCAGUCAUUUUGACACCUUUCGUUUGUGUUUUCAGAUGGUGAACCUGUUGGAUAGCAGAUACAAUUUAGAAGACAAAGGUGGACCAAUACACAUUCUAGACGUCUGAUGUAGUCCUGCCACCAUCACCUGCUGAAUCCCUCUCUUCAUGUUCCCCAGCCCCCACCGACGGCACCACAGAUUGAGUCACACCAGAUGUGGAGCCUUGCAGUAGGGAAGACUAAUUGUUUUUCACUGCUACAACCUCAUU
Long non-coding RNA from Cyprinus carpio carpio, 609 nucleotides. The record is from Ensembl. NCBI's taxonomy places the organism in Eukaryota, Metazoa, Chordata, Actinopteri, Cypriniformes, Cyprinidae.